GAGGUCUUAACACAUUACUAACUAAUAAUAAAUUAAUUAAUCAGCCAGCAGGAAGUGAUGUAAUAUCAAGGGAGCUAUAAAGGGAUGCCCCUAUAUUGCCUCUCAUUCUGUAGUUGGUAUUCAAUGAGGUUGCACUUGUUCCUGUAAAAAGGAAUAGUUUCGUUCAGGAUUUGAAAUUUUCCUAAGUUCUCUGUUUGGUGACAUGUAUAAACAGAGGUAGACUAUAAGGUUCCACCAUUCUUGAUUGAAAAUAGGGAACGUAACAUCAUCUAAUUUCAACCAAAUUUAUAUAUAUUUUUUUGAAGUCUAUCUAGAUAUUAUAUUUAUCGAAUUGAAUAUGUGAUUGGAUGUAAUCAUUGGAUAUUCUAAACCUUUCUAAUCAAUGGUAAUCACUCCUACUAUAAGAACUGAUUCCAAACCCCUGAUGAAGUCCUAACGGACGAAACGCUUUGGGUUUUGCAACGUCUGGUUAACAAAGUCCUUAUCACAAACAUCUGGUUGGAGAUACAUCCAUUUCGAGUUCUGACUGUGAUCACCUGGCUGUAAAAUCCUCACAUCCAACUGUAAUUUAUGUAUAAGAUUGUAAUAUUGUUUUAUAUGAAUUUUUAGAAGGUUGUGUCAAUAACGAACGCUUAGGAUAAAUAUCGUUUGUUUC
This is a long non-coding RNA of Pseudophryne corroboree (corroboree frog), 655 nucleotides long. RefSeq lists it as uncharacterized. The record is from RefSeq and is a predicted model, not a curated record. The transcript has 5 exons. Lineage: Eukaryota; Metazoa; Chordata; Amphibia; Anura; Myobatrachidae.